Molecule: long non-coding RNA, 4395 nt
Filed under: Durio zibethinus
Lineage: Eukaryota; Viridiplantae; Streptophyta; Magnoliopsida; Malvales; Malvaceae
Description: long non-coding RNA (DZIB_LNC000394)
Source: RNAcentral
GUAACAUUAACCAAUAUUUUAUCUGCAGCUGGUGUUUCCAGUGUGGUUGCCAUAUUUGGCAUUUAUUUCUUUGUAGCAGCCACAUUUCCUUUCCAAAAUUUCUCAAAAUCACUACUGAAAUUUAAAAAAAAAAAAAAAGAUUAAUGCAAGAAAACGAAACCACGACCCUUCAACAUUCCUGGAAGUGACAUAUAAGAUCUCAAUGCUCCCCCAAAUAAAUUUUGUCUGGUUUUGUGGAUAUCCCACUUUUACACAACAUUAGAAUGAUUUUUACAUCACAAUUGCUUGCAUGAUUGCACCCAGAAUCUGUUUGAAAUCCUAAUUGAAUCAGAAGAAAUUGAUUUUUGCCACUAUGUCUUGAGCUCGAUAAUUAUGUAAGUAUAUGAAAUUGCAUGCUUUUUUGCUAUUACUAAUUAAAAUGGAUAAGGAGGGUAUAGUUUACGAAAUUCUAUUUAGACAGAGAUCAAAGUGAUUAUUAUUCAUAAGGGCUCCAUCUUUAUUUGUAUUUAGUAGGGUUUUACCUAUUCAAAAAUUAAUACUUUGUUUCAUAAUCUGCCCUUACACUAUAGUUUUGAUAUAUUUUGGUUUUAUUUUCAUUAAAGGUUCUUUGAGUAGACCUGUUCAAAGGCUAAACUAUUCGUCCAAAUCUAAAAGUUUAUUUAAAUUUUGAGAGGAUUUGGAUAAAAAAUUAAAAUCUAUUAAACAAGUUUAAACAUAAUUUUUAAACCCGUUUAAAUUUAGGGCUAAACUUAAUUUUUAUUUUUAAUUUUUAUAUAUAUGUAAAUUAAAUAUAAUCCUAUUAAACUUAAUUUAAUUAAUUUUUUAAUUUUUUAUUUUAUAAAUUAAGUUUAAUAUGUGAGUUUGUAAUUUAUUUUUUUAAUUUGGGUUAGGUUUGAAAAAUUUUUGAGACCCGAAAUUUUAAAUCAAGCCAAACUUAGAUAAACAUAUAAAUUAUUAAUACCAAAUAUGAGUCUAGCCCAAAAUCUACCUAGUUCGACCUAUAAACACCUCUAUCUUGAGUACUAUUGAAAGUUUUAACUAAAGCAAACCAACUGUCAGCCUUAAUCCUCUUCUUAGAUCAUCUAAACAAGCCAUCCAAUUUUUCAAACAUUUUUGCAGCUUAUCAACUCAAGUUGAUUAAGCAAUAAAGCAUGAUAUAGCACAAACUCGUACGUCUUAAACUCAAUUCCUUAUCUCAAAUGCCUACAUUCAAAUGGUAUGUACGAUGCAUGAAUCUAGUUUAAUGAAUUUUAUUUUAUUUAAAAAUUUCUUGUAAUUCAAAAAAAAAAAGAAAAAAGAAAAAAAUGGUGUAACCAAUGAAGUAAUUGCUAAUAAUAUAAAAUUUGCCCAUUAUAUUAUUUGUCUCGAUCCCAAAUUUUUGUGGCGCGAAUUAAAUUUAUCUCCAUCGAUGUAAAUUAAGCACAAUAUGGAUUAUCUUGUGAAAUUAACAUGAGGUUUUAGUGAGGUUGUGUUAUAUAACAAAUUUUUUUUCAAUUUUCCAUAUUCUUGGAUGUAGUUAUCAUGCCUUACUUUUCAUGAUAGUUUCCUUUGUUUUAGAACCAAAUGAUACCUUUGACAAAUUAAAAUCCUCCCUUGUUAGGAAUUUUAAUACAGUAUCUUUUCUCAAUUUGGAUAAAAAUUUGUGUUCAAUGUUUUUGGCAUAGCCUUUUUUAAGUUUCCCUUCUAUCAUCCCUUUCUAUGGAGAAAUUUGGUGCCAAACAAGUUCAUAUCGACACCAUCACCCGCCUUUACGCCUCAAGAAAGGCCUAAUUUCCUCCUCCUUCCAACAGAUUUCGGCAAACAGGCAAAGUCACAAUUGCAUGACCCUAUCACAUGUGAUGGCUUCUAAAAACUGUUAGUGGGCAUAUAUAUCAUAAUCAUGAUUCAUAAGCUACCGGAAAAUAAAUUUAAUUAUAUAUAAUCAUCGGUUUGGUACAAUAUACCAAAUUCAACAAUCGAAAUUCCAUGUCUCAACCCUAGGUUGAAACCACAAGAGAAAAUCAUGACCUCAAAUUUAAUUCCUUGAUAUCGUGUAUGGUACAACUCAUUGAGGCUGGCUUUAAUAUCCAUCGCUGUCACAAAAAAUGUCAAAAUGAAAGCAUGAGAGCUUCCGUUUCGAAAAUGAAAACUUGGAGAAAAUAUGGCUGGGGUUAUUUUGAUUUCUAUGCAAUAUUCCAUGAAUCUGAGAAAUAAUAGCAAUCCAACUAAUUAAGUCUUGGAUGACUUGAAAUGAUCAAAUUUCGACACCCUUUUACAAAAGCCAAAUGGUGAUAUGAAUGAAGUAAUGGAGCAUUUUUUUUUUCUUUGAACGUGGCAAUAUAAGAUUAACAUGAUAUGCAAAAAGGGUCAAAGAUACAGAUGAUAUAUUAUCAGUGAUUGCACAAACUCUGUUUGAAGACUCUAAUAUCGAAAAGUAUAGGGAGACUUUUAAUUUCCCCAUGUUGAGGCCAAAAGCAGCAAAUUGAUGCUUACACGCCAGACUAGAAGUCAAAAAGAUGUUAUGAAUCCAAAAAUGUUGGAUAAUGUCCUUUGCAUGAACUGGGUUGUUUUUGAUGGUUGAAUCUUAAACACGACAAAUCAUGGGGACCAAAUCAAUCUUAUCAAUAGUUAAUUAGAUGUUUAAUUUAAAUUGUUGCAGUAUUAAAUGAAUUUUGUUAAUUUUGUUCCAUUACUGCACAAAGCUAAAUAUCUGCAGACUCUUACUUAAUUAGCAUGGAUAGGGUAAUAGGGAUUUGGUUCAAAUCUCAAUUUCGUGCAAAUCAAAACUCAUAAUUUAAUCCAAUUAAUUCAUAUAAUCAUUUGUAAAAAGUGUUAUCCAAUAAAUUUAAAAUUCAAAUUUCAACUCGAACUACAGCCUCAUUUAUACAAAGAAGAAAAAAUCUAUAUUAAGCAUUUACUAUGCAAAAUGAAACUAAUCGAAAACCUAAAGAAGAUGGAAAGAAAAGUUUGUAAUUGUUCCUUUGAGUGAAUAAAAAAAAAGUCUUUUGAGUUCUUUGGUGCAUUAAUGUUAUUUAGAUAUGGCAUGAUUGGUAUUCAUUAACUAAAGCAUUGGCUCUAAAACCAAUUUCAAAUGUUUGAAUCUUUCUUUCAUUUUUUGUGAGUAUGAAAAAAUCUAAAGAAAAAAAAAAGGGAAUUAGAGCCUUAGAUCUCAAUUCUCUUAAAUUAGAUAAAAAAAAAUAUUUUGUUAGGUCAAAUUAAACCCAAUUUCUGAAAUAGCUAAUUUUCUCUCAUGUGACCAACAAAAUACAAUUUGCUCUAUUUAUGUGUGCUAGGGACUUGGAAUAUGUGUGCUAAUGAUCAAUUUGUAUGUGCAAAAAGAAAGUUGAAGGACAAACUUUCUCGGUGAAUUGCCUAAUUCUUUUAGUUUCUUAUUGUAAUUUCAAAUCAGGGCAUGCAAAAUGCACUAAAUUUGCAAAGAAAUUAGGUGUGUUUAUAAGCAAAGGAAAAUAUAUAACAGUUUCCUGCUUUCUUUCCUUGUCUGAAUUAUGUUUAUGGCUGCCAAUUUCAUUAUGUAGUUGAACUUCAACAAGGAAUGGUCUACCCUGCAUUGCUAGAUUGUUAUCUUUACAUUUUUAUAGCAAAAAUGGAAUUAAAAUUCUUCUGGUCCAAUUAAUCAUACCCAUAGAACUUAGUGUGAAUUUCAAACAUAAUAUACUACAUUAAUCUCAGGAAAAGACAUACCUUGUUCUGAUUCAAAUAACCUAAUUAAUCUGUUCAUAUCGAUCUCUUUUGCAACAAUUUUCAAACCCAAUUCAGCCUUUGUGGAGGGUCUAAGGUGGCAAAUUAGGAGCCGAUCAACAGUCAUGGUAUGAUCAUCAUCCUUUCAUUUUUAUAUUGGAAAGCUACAGAUGAACAAAACAUAGGGUGUGACUUAACAACUAGAGCUCAACAAAGACAAACAAGGCAGCCUUAGGUGUUGCUUUCUCUUGUGCUUGGAUUCAAGCUGGACUUUGGCAAUGAAGUUGCAAAUACAAUCACUUGCCAUUUUUGGUAAUCACGACAAAUUUUUUAGUCUUUGUCAUGGACCAGGCAAUUUGGCAAAGAUAAUUUAAAGCUUCAAAAAAUUUAAAGCUCACAUUGAAGCAACUAGAGACAGCCAUCACAAAGACAAAUGUCAAGUGAUGGCUGGGCCCAUAAGUGAUGGCUGAGCCCUUGAAGAUGUAUGAGCUACUAGAUCCAUAGCCCAAGCCCAUAUCUCUCCUAUGGACAUCCAAAAUUUUGAGGACCACAUGCAAAUUAUCUCAAAAUUCCCCCAAGUUUUAUUAUAAUCUUCUAUAAAUGAUGUUACAAAAUAAUUAAAGAAAAAAGAGAAUUUACACUGACAGUGAUAAAAAAAAAAAAGAAUGCAAAACAAAAAUUAUUUCAUCAAUUUUCAAUAAAGUUUUUAGAUUCCAC